RNAcentral lists this ribosomal RNA (918 nucleotides) under Triticum aestivum (bread wheat). RNAcentral describes it as "partial small subunit ribosomal RNA". The record is from RNAcentral. Lineage: Eukaryota; Viridiplantae; Streptophyta; Magnoliopsida; Poales; Poaceae.
AUGCCCGUCGCCCUUGGUCUCGUAGAACUCGAGCUCGCCGCCCCACCCGCACGCCUUGACCCCCGCCGCGUAGGCGCGCGACCUCUCCACGAACCAGCAGUGUUCCGCCGUGGCGACCAGCACACGGCCGCACCCGAGCUGGCUCAACUCCUCCGGCGACGCCGCGGGGUUGAUGUACGGGUGGUCGAGGCCGAGCUUACCUCCGCAGGCGACAUGCCAUACCUGGUCAAUGCCGCCGCGGAGGGCGCCGUCGGUGGGCUCCCCGCCGACCGGCUCUUUUCCCCAGAAGUAGGAGUGCAGGAGCGCGAUGCCGCUGACCUUAUCGCCGUACCCCUCGAUGCGUUCCUUCCGCAGCCUGGCCGCCGUGCGGUGCGCCAUGUUGGCGCCGGCGCUGUCGCCGGCGAGGACGACGCGGGACGCGUCGCCGUGCGCCGCGAGCCAGGGCUCGGCGCCGCGUGGCCGGCAGGAGGAGACGACGGCCUUGAGGGCCGCGAAGGCGUCCUCGUAGGCGGCCGGAACAGGGUGCUCCGGGGCGAGGCGGUAGUCAACGGAGACGACGAUAGCGGGGACCGCGGCGGCGAGGGAGGCGGCGUACUUGUGGUAGAGCGGGGAGGCAGCAGUGUAGAUCAUGAACGCGCCGCCGUGGAAGAACACGACCACAGGGAGCUUCUUGCCGGGCACCGCGGCGGCGGCGGCGGGGAGGUAGACGCGAGCAGCGAUGUUUGCCGCGGGGUCGAGGACGACGUCCUUGGAGGCGACGCCGUUGGCUGUGUCACCGGACGGCGAGGGCGGCACGGUCUCGGUGCCGUUCAAGCGCACGACGCGGCCGCUCUUGUGCACACGCACGACGCCGGGUAUCUCGUACUCGAUCUCGGAGCCGGGGUCGUCCAUGGCUGGGGUUGCGGCAGGCGGCAGUGA